GAUGAACGCUGGCGGUGUGCUUAAUACAUGCAAGUCGAGCGGUAACACUUCGGGUGACGAGCGGCGGACGGCUGAGUAACACGUAGGAACGUACCCCAAACUGAGGGAUAAGCACCAGAAAUGGUGUCUAAUACCGCAUAUGAUCUUCGGAUUAAAGCUUCGGCGGUUUGGGAACGGCCUGCGCAUGAUUAGCUUGUUGGUAAGGUAAUGGCUUACCAAGGCAACGAUCAUUAGCUGGUCUGAGAGGAUGAUCAGCCAGACUGGGACUGAGACACGGCCCAGACUCCUACGGGAGGCAGCAGUAGGGAAUUUUCCACAAUGGACGAAAGUCUGAUGGAGCAACACCGCGUGCAGGAUGAAGGCUUUCGGGUCGUAAACUGCUUUUAUCUGUGAAGAUUAUGACGGUAGCAGAUGAAUAAGGAUCGGCUAACUCCGUGCCAGCAGCCGCGGUAAUAC
RNAcentral lists this ribosomal RNA (456 nucleotides) under uncultured bacterium. RNAcentral's name for it is "bacterial SSU rRNA". It matches the Rfam family "Bacterial small subunit ribosomal RNA", at positions 28 to 526 of the family's 1533-position model. The record is from RNAcentral.